UACCAAAGCUGGCGACCGGCGCACGGGUGAGUAACACGUAUCCAACCUGCCUCAUACUCGGGGAUAGCCUUUCGAAAGAAAGAUUAAUAUCCGAUAGCAUAUAUUUCCCGCAUGGGUUUUAUAUUAAAGAAAUUCGGUAUGAGAUGGGGAUGCGUUCCAUUAGUUUGUUGGGGGGUAACGGCCCACCAAGACUACGAUGGAUAGGGGUUCUGAGAGGAAGGUCCCCCACAUUGGAACUGAGACACGGUCCAA
This 252-nucleotide ribosomal RNA is filed under the name uncultured bacterium. Its description in RNAcentral is "partial 16S ribosomal RNA". It matches the Rfam family "Bacterial small subunit ribosomal RNA", at positions 80 to 334 of the family's 1533-position model. The record is from RNAcentral.